AACGAACGCUGGCGGCGUGCUUAACACAUGCAAGUCGAACGGGAGUAUUGAAGAAGCUUGCUUUAGAGAUACUUUAGUGGCGGACGGGUGAGUAACGCGUGAGGAGCUGUCCUAUGCAGGGGGACAACAGCUGGAAACGGCUGCUAAUACCCCAUAAGCCGAGAGGUAAAAGGAUCAAUCCGGCAGAGGAGGUACUCGCGUCCUAUCAGCUAGUAGGUGAGGUAACGGCUCACCUAGGCGAAGACGGGUAGCCGGCCUGAGAGGGCGAACGGCCACACUGGAACUGAGAUACGGUCCAGACUCCUACGGGAGGCAGCAGUGGGGAAUAUUGGGCAAUGGGGGAAACCCUGACCCAGCGACGCCGCGUGGGUGAAGAAAUCCUUCGGGAUGUAAAGCCCUGUUGUAUGGGAAGAGCGGAAGACGGUACCAUACGAGGAAGCCCCGGCAAACUACGUG
Molecule: ribosomal RNA, 456 nt
Filed under: uncultured bacterium
Lineage: Bacteria
Description: bacterial SSU rRNA
Rfam family: Bacterial small subunit ribosomal RNA
Source: RNAcentral